GACGAACGCUGGCGGCGUGCUUAACACAUGCAAGUCGAACGGUAAGGCCCUUCGGGGUACACGAGUGGCGAACGGGUGAGUAACACGUGGGUGAUCUGCCCUGCACUUCGGGAUAAGCCUGGGAAACUGGGUCUAAUACCGGAUAGGACCACUGCCUGCAUGGGUGGUGGUGGAAAGCUUUUGCGGUGUGGGAUGGGCCCGCGGCCUAUCAGCUUGUUGGUGGGGUGAUGGCCUACCAAGGCGACGACGGGUAGCCGGCCUGAGAGGGUGACCGGCCACACUGGGACUGAGAUACGGCCCAGACUCCUACGGGAGGCAGCAGUGGGGAAUAUUGCACAAUGGGCGCAAGCCUGAUGCAGCGACGCCGCGUGAGGGAUGACGGCCUUCGGGUUGUAAACCUCUUUCAGCGCCGACGAAGCGCAAGUGACGGUAGGUGCAGAAGAAGGACCGGCCAACUACGUGCCAGCAGCCGCCGUA
Molecule: ribosomal RNA, 477 nt
Filed under: uncultured bacterium
Lineage: Bacteria
Description: partial 16S ribosomal RNA
Rfam family: Bacterial small subunit ribosomal RNA
Source: RNAcentral